RNAcentral lists this long non-coding RNA (981 nucleotides) under Homo sapiens (human). Its description in RNAcentral is "HSALNT0022011". Lineage: Eukaryota; Metazoa; Chordata; Mammalia; Primates; Hominidae. The record is from RNAcentral.
UCCUGAGGCCUCCCCAGCCAUGCUUCCUGUACAGCCCAUGUAACUGGCAGCGCCAGCCAAGUCAUGUCCCACAUGAAGUCCUACCACUGCCACUGGUCAUCCUUGCUGCUGCUCAUCACCAGCUUCUAACCAAGCUGCUCCUCCAAGAAGCCCACCAUCUUGGCCCACCACAACCCCAACGCACAAGCAGAAUAUUAUCUUAAUGGUGGCGCUCCAUGGUUUCUUCAGCUGUGGAAGAGUGAAGGACAAAUUUCAUCUAAAGCACUACUCACACUGUACUUACUGCACAAAAGAGGCCAAAUUGGCAUGGCUUUCGACUAUCUCUGCAAAAUCCAUUUGGAUCCAUUUCUGCAACUGUGAUCUACUAUCAACCUGGGGGGCAAAGGAGAAAUCAGCCCCAGGAGCGUGGAAACCACUAUACUUAAAACUAUAUCCUUUGCUUAUUUAUUUCAAGUAAAAGGCCACACAGACACAGAAAAUUAGAAGGCUCGUGAAAUAAGAUUUAAGUUCCAUUCUGGUUACAGGGUCCUCCCUGAUGUUCAAUCCUAGAGGCUAUACCUCCCACUCUUGAAGAAUUUCCAAACCUUCCAGGCCCAGGAGAGUUUUCCAUGUUGAAAGAUUGCAGGAUGGGACCCCAUAACAAUCCCCCAAAAGUUCAGGCUGAAAUUACAUGCAGGCCAAGUCUGUAUGAUGCAGCCCUCUGUAAUUGUUGGGUCUCUUCCAGAAGGCUCUCAACACAUGGGACUCCGAUGAAGUUCAGCAUGUGGAAAGGGCUGAAGCUUGAAGCCUGUGUAUUUGUAAUGGAAACACAGCAGUGACCCCAUGAUCCAGUGCCUUGUGAAGAAGAUGCAUGCUUCCCUUUCUGCCAUGAUUGAAAGUUUCCUGAGGCCUCCCCAGCCUUGCAGAACUGAAAAAGAAGAAUUCUUUAAUUGAAAAAUAGGCAAAGAAUACAAAGAGGCAAAUUACAAAAGGAAAAUAAAC